Molecule: unclassified non-coding RNA, 288 nt
Filed under: Cryptococcus sp. (in: basidiomycete fungi)
Lineage: Eukaryota; Fungi; Basidiomycota; Tremellomycetes; Tremellales; Cryptococcaceae
Description: Cryptococcus sp. (in: Fungi) partial contains 5.8S ribosomal RNA, internal transcribed spacer 2, and large subunit ribosomal RNA
Rfam family: 5.8S ribosomal RNA (bases 1-71)
Source: RNAcentral
GUGAGUCAUCGAAUCUUUGAACGCACCUUGCGCCCUCUGGUAUUCCGGAGGGCAUGCCUGUUUGAGUGUCAUGAAGACUCAUCCUUCCAGGUUUUCCUGGGAUGUGGUGGAUUUGGGCGUUUGCCAUUGACCUGGCUCGCCUCAAAAAUCUAAGUGGUCGUUUAGGACGUGAUAAGUUUCGCCCUUGACUGCUCAUAACAUUGUCUGUGUAGACAGACGUUUUCUCUGAUCUGACCUCAAAUCAGGUAGGACUACCCGCUGAACUUAAGCAUAUCAAUAAGCGGAGGA